This 422-nucleotide ribosomal RNA is filed under the name uncultured bacterium. RNAcentral's name for it is "bacterial SSU rRNA". It matches the Rfam family "Bacterial small subunit ribosomal RNA", at positions 355 to 774 of the family's 1533-position model. The record is from RNAcentral.
UGAGGAAUAUUGGGCAAUGCCCGCAAGGGUGACCCAGCAACGCCGCGUGGAGGAUGAAUGUCGUAAGAUUGUAAACUCCUGUUAGAGGGGAAGAAUAGUACCGGUUGGACCGGUAUAUGACUGUACCCUCAGAGAAAGCCCCGGCUAACUACGUGCCAGCAGCCGCGGUAAUACGUAGGGGGCAAGCGUUGUCCGGAUUUACUGGGUGUAAAGGGCGCGCAGGCGGGAUAAAAAGUCAGUGGUGAAAUCCUACAGCUUAACUGUAGAACUGCCUUGGAUACUUUAAUUCUUGAGUUCGGGAGAGAGAGACGGAAUUCCAGGUGUAGUGGUGAAAUACGUAGAUAUCUGGAAGAACACCAGUUGCGAAGGCGGUCUCUUGGUCCGACACUGACGCUGAGGCGCGAAAGCGUGGGGAGCAAACA